CUUCCGUUCUCCACUCUCCUCUGUGAGCUCUGUAGUGCUCCGUUUCAGGGCCGUGGCAGUCGGGAAAUACUUCACUUCUGGCCUUCCGGGUGAGGGCUUUUGAGAGACCAGGCUCUAACGCUCCGCAGAACCAGCAGGUGCACUCAAUUCCCGGCGGCUCCUACAAAGUCGUACCCGAGGAAGCAGUCCAAUAGAAGAGAAAAAAGGCUUGGCUUCUCAAGAUUCAGGAGAUUUUGACAGAGUUCUGGGGCGACACCACUCACAGGUCAAGACUGAAUCAAUAUAUACGCCCUUUCUUUGGACUGAAUUUUUUGGUUAACUGAAUAAUUUAGUCAAAAUAAUUAUGAAUUUGAGACAUUUAUAUUAUAUCACUCCUUUUUCCAACAUGAUGCUUUCUGCUUGGCUGAUUUGAAAUUUUGGAUGGGUGAGAAAAAUCUAUACUAAUAUGACUGAAUAUUUAUUUAUAUAUUUAUGUAUUGAGCA
This 483-nucleotide long non-coding RNA is filed under the name Macaca mulatta (Rhesus monkey). RNAcentral describes it as "lncRNA (ENSMMUG00000060765.1)". Lineage: Eukaryota; Metazoa; Chordata; Mammalia; Primates; Cercopithecidae. The record is from RNAcentral.